CCAAAUCCUAAAUGCAUAGGCAAAUAUUUUUUGUAUUUUUCCAAAUAAAAAUAAACAUGCACAGACGAAUGCAAAAAAUAAAAGAAAAAUAGUACUAAAUCCACAAAAAUUGCAAACAACACAAGAUUAGUUUAUUUUGAAUUUUUGGGAGUAGUUCUCAUAGGAAAAAAAUCACGUGCUCACAUGUAGUUUGACCGGGGCCGAGCUUUAUGUUGCCCGAAUCUUAGUUCGAGUUGGGACUACUUACUUGACUAGCGAGGGAGCCUAGUCUACGCCUCGUUUCGUCGGAGGUCAUGUUUUGCUAAGUUCUAUGAGGAAGGCGCUUGGCUUGUUAGAUUUGAGGACGCAUGCAUCUAUCAUUGUAGUUCGAAUGGGGUUGUACUUGUUAGAUUUAAUGGCGAAGGCGCAUAGCCUGAAUCCCA
Molecule: long non-coding RNA, 422 nt
Filed under: Nicotiana benthamiana
Lineage: Eukaryota; Viridiplantae; Streptophyta; Magnoliopsida; Solanales; Solanaceae
Description: long non-coding RNA (NBEN_LNC032207)
Source: RNAcentral